GGUUCUGUGGUGUGAUGGUGAGCACUCUGGACUCUGAAUCCAGCAAUCCAAGUUCCAGUCUUGGUGGAACCU
RNAcentral lists this transfer RNA (72 nucleotides) under Loxodonta africana (African savanna elephant). It matches the Rfam family "tRNA". Rfam says of the family: Transfer RNA (tRNA) molecules are approximately 80 nucleotides in length. Their secondary structure includes four short double-helical elements and three loops (D, anti-codon, and T loops). Lineage: Eukaryota; Metazoa; Chordata; Mammalia; Proboscidea; Elephantidae. The record is from Rfam by way of RNAcentral.